GUACACUCCUACGGGAGGCAGCAGUGGGGAAUUUUGGACAAUGGGCGCAAGCCUGAUCCAGCCAUGCCGCGUGCGGGAAGAAGGCCUUCGGGUUGUAAACCGCUUUUGUCAGGGAAGAAAAGGUUCUGGCUAAUACCUGGGACUCAUGACGGUACCUGAAGAAUAAGCACCGGCUAACUACGUGCCAGCAGCCGCGGUAAUACGUAGGGUGCAAGCGUUAAUCGGAAUUACUGGGCGUAAAGCGUGCGCAGGCGGUUAUGCAAGACAGAGGUGAAAUCCCCGGGCUCAACCUGGGAACUGCCUUUGUGACUGCAUGGCUAGAGUACUGUAGAGGGGGAUGGAAUUCCGCGUGUAGCAGUGAAAUGCGUAGAUAUGCGGAGGAACACCGAUGGCGAAGGCAAUCCCCUGGACCUGUACUGACGCUCAUGCACGAAAGCGUGGGGAGCAAACAGGAUUAGAAACCCCAGUAGUCCCAUG
This 477-nucleotide ribosomal RNA is filed under the name uncultured organism. RNAcentral describes it as "partial 16S ribosomal RNA". It matches the Rfam family "Bacterial small subunit ribosomal RNA", at positions 331 to 799 of the family's 1533-position model. The record is from RNAcentral.